This 519-nucleotide ribosomal RNA is filed under the name uncultured bacterium. RNAcentral's name for it is "bacterial SSU rRNA". It matches the Rfam family "Bacterial small subunit ribosomal RNA", at positions 8 to 518 of the family's 1533-position model. The record is from RNAcentral.
AGAGUUUGAUCCUGGCUCAGGAUGAACGCUAGGCGGCAGGCUUAACACAUGCAAGUCGAGGGGCAGCGUGUGGUAGCAAUACCGACGACGGCGACCGGCGCACGGGUGAGUAACGCGUAUGCAACCUUUCCCAGACAGGGGGAUAGCCCAGGGAAACUUGGAUUAAUACCCCGUAGGCCGAGGGAUGGCAUCGUCCUUCGGUUAAAGUUCCGGCGGUCUGGGGUGGGCAUGCGUGCCAUUAGGCAGUUGGUGGGGUAACGGCCCACCAAACCGACGAUGGCUACGGGGUCUAAAAGGAUGGUCCCGCACAUUGGAACUGAGACACGGUCCAAACUCCUACGGGAGGCAGCAGUGAGGAAUAUUGGUCAAUGGGGGGAACCCUGAACCAGCCAUGCCCGCGUGGAGGAAGACGGCCCUACGGGUUGUAAACUCCUUUAGCACGGGAAUAAUCCGCCCCACGUGUGGGACGUUGAAGGUACCGUGAGAAUAAGCAUCGGCUAACUCCGUGCCAGCAGCAGC